Picea glauca (white spruce) is the source of this 72-nucleotide non-coding RNA. NCBI's taxonomy places the organism in Eukaryota, Viridiplantae, Streptophyta, Pinopsida, Pinales, Pinaceae. The record is from Rfam.
GUGGCUGUAGUUUAGUGGUGAGAAUUCCACGUUGUGGCCGUGAAGACCUAGGCUCGAAUACCAACAUCCACA